UCAAAACAAAACCUUUCAAUGAAGGUAUAAAAAUGUGCAGAGAUAGAGUAUGAAUAAAUACUAAAUCUAAAACAACAAAAAUGAAAAGAAAACACUGAAAUCUUCAAAGAAAUCAAACCAAGCAAGGAAAACCAGUAUCAAUUAAUUGAGUUUGUGCAUUAAGCGUAAUCAAAUGUAGUUAUGCUUGAAUUGAACACCUAAUUCAAUGAAAUGAAUAUUUGCAAAAAGUAAAACAUGCCUAAUUCAGUGAAGUAAAAUAUAGAAGAGCUUAAACUGAUGCACGCAGCAGGUUUACCAAAAACUAUGUUUUCAAUUGAACCAGAUCUCAAGAAACUAGGCAGAUAUUAAUUCAAGGCAUUCAAUCGAAUGCUUCGUUUGCAAUACAACAAAACAAUUCAAUAUCAACUAAUCUAGAAGGAUGCCAUGAAGUGAAUUAGAAGAAGGUGCAAAUUUCAAAUCAAUGAACAAACUGAUCAAAAAGAAAAGAAUAAUAAAAGAAAAGGAAGAAUCACUCACCUAGCAAGUACAAUCAACCAAAAUCGUAGAAUCAUAAAUAGAUUCAGGUAAAUUGAGCUAGAAGUUAAACAUAAAAUUAGAUCUGAAACGAAACCAAAAACAAAAAAUACGGCAAACUCAGAUCUGGUUGAAAGAAAAGGAGAUCGUACCUGAUGCAAUGGGAACCGAAACACAAAUUGAAAUCCAAGGACGAAUUCGAUUAUCAAAAUGACUCCGUACUGCAGAACAGAGAGAAGCGAGGAGAAGAGAGAGAAUAGAAGAGAAGAGAGAUGAAAAGAGGAGCGGAAAGUGCGAAGAGCUCCUCAGAAAUCGUUUGGUGUGGGAAUUAGAUAUUGAAAUGAAACAAAGAGGCGUUCGUUCUCUCAGUUUGAUUUCGCUCUCUUUAUUUCCGGGUUAAGCGAGAGAAACACAGAGCGCAUAAAUAAAUUAAUAUAAUAAUUGCUAUUUAAA
Molecule: long non-coding RNA, 966 nt
Filed under: Carica papaya (papaya)
Lineage: Eukaryota; Viridiplantae; Streptophyta; Magnoliopsida; Brassicales; Caricaceae
Description: long non-coding RNA (CPAP_LNC007163)
Source: RNAcentral